Molecule: transfer RNA, 76 nt
Filed under: Vibrio fluvialis
Lineage: Bacteria; Pseudomonadati; Pseudomonadota; Gammaproteobacteria; Vibrionales; Vibrionaceae
Also listed under: 3 other names
Description: tRNA-Ile
Rfam family: tRNA
About the family: Transfer RNA (tRNA) molecules are approximately 80 nucleotides in length. Their secondary structure includes four short double-helical elements and three loops (D, anti-codon, and T loops).
Source: RNAcentral
GGCCCCUUAGCUCAGUGGUUAGAGCAGUCGACUCAUAAUCGAUUGGUCCCCAGUUCAAAUCUGGGAGGGGCCACCA